This 306-nucleotide unclassified non-coding RNA is filed under the name plant metagenome. RNAcentral's name for it is "partial contains 5.8S ribosomal RNA, internal transcribed spacer 2, and large subunit ribosomal RNA". The stretch from base 1 to 105 matches the Rfam family "5.8S ribosomal RNA", at positions 50 to 154 of the family's 154-position model. The record is from RNAcentral.
GAAACGCGAUAGUUAAUGUGAAUUGCAGAAUUCAGUGAAUCAUCGAGUCUUUGAACGCACAUUGCGCCCAUUGGUAUUCCUUUGGGCAUGUCUGUUUGAGCGUCAUUUCAACCAUCAAGCCCCCGGGCUUGUGUUGGGGACCUGUGGCUGCCCGCAGGCCCUGAAAACCAGUGGCGGGCUCGCUGUCACACCGAGCGUAGUAGCAAUCACCUCGCUCAGGGCGUGCUGCGGGUUCCGGCCGUUAAACAGCCUUACAAAACCCAAGGUUGACCUCGGAUCAGGUAGGAAGACCCGCUGAACUUAAGC